Molecule: ribosomal RNA, 372 nt
Filed under: Triticum aestivum (bread wheat)
Lineage: Eukaryota; Viridiplantae; Streptophyta; Magnoliopsida; Poales; Poaceae
Description: partial small subunit ribosomal RNA
Source: RNAcentral
AUGGCCAUCAACUUCUCUAGCUGCCGUGGCGUCGCCUGUCCUUCCGACUCCAACGACGUGGAGAUGGCCCUUCCCGCCGCGGCUGCCGACGUUUCUGUCCCGCAGAGCGCCGGGGGGUCGAACGCGUCGGCGGCUAAGCCUGUGAGGGCGGCGGCAGGGCACUCGAGGCUCGGCGUCAUACUGCUCGACCUCAUCUCCGACCCGCCCAGCCACCUCUGGGUGCUUACACUCCACUUCGCGGGGCUGCCCUACCUCAUCAGCAUGUACCGGAGAGUCACAAUGGUGGCGACGGGCUCCGGCAUAUGCGUGUUCCUGUCGUUCCUGAUGCAGCCGAGCUGGGCGGAGGUGUCUCUGGUGUUUUGGAUAUUUUAA